RNAcentral lists this ribosomal RNA (423 nucleotides) under Triticum aestivum (bread wheat). RNAcentral describes it as "partial small subunit ribosomal RNA". The record is from RNAcentral. Lineage: Eukaryota; Viridiplantae; Streptophyta; Magnoliopsida; Poales; Poaceae.
AUGGAGCACAACGAAUUGGAAGACUCAAGGCACAAUAACUAUGUCGACCAUGAUCCAUUUGACUAUGUGUACUCAAACCUCCCAGCCAACACACACAUCCUGAAGCACGCCGCGAACUGCGACCACUGCAAGGAUAAGAAGUUUGUGUCCGAGGCCCCAGGAUUUUGCUGUCGCAGUGGGCAGAUCGAGCUGAAGCAACCGGAGCCCACCCUGAAGCUCAUGAGGCUUUGGUCUAGCACUGAUGUGGACUCUAGACAUUAUCGGGAGAACAUACGGUUCUUCAACGGCCACUUCUCCUUCACAACCCUCGGCAUCAGCCUCGAUGAAAGCUACACAAACAUGAAGUCUGGGGUGUACACGUUUCGGGCACACGACACCAUCUACCACAAUGUUCAUUCCUUCGGGCCAACAUCCCGUCCAUAG